AGCUGUUUUGUUGAAGUUAGUAAUAAAGAAAUAAGCAAAAUUAAAAUGAAUUCAGACCAGAAAAAUACAAUAAAACUUGUGCAAAAAUACUAAAACAAUUAUUCGCCUCAGGCUCUGUGGUUAUCUGGGAAUAUUCACCUCGGCAAAUAUUCCCCGAUAAUCACCUCGCCUUCGGCGAAUAAUUGUUAAAUAUAAUUUUACCAUUCCUUUUUGAAAUAAAUAAAUGUUUUCAAACUCAAUUUGCUGUGUUUGUUUACUGCAGUCAUCAAAUCCCUACUUUAUCUUAUGGUCCACCUUGUGCAUGUGUUCUUAACACUGUUUUAAUUUAACUGUUGUAUAUUUAGCACAGAUGGGUCACUGAUCUAAAUAUGGAUCCAGUAUUAUGUGGUAGGGAGGGUGCUCUGCCAGCUCUGGUGCCGAGUUGUGUCAGUCAUGUGCGCCACCCACCCAUCAAAAUACUUGACUACAGCAAAGUCUUGCUUGACUACAGUAUUGUAAUUGUUGUUAACAAACAGUUUACUUAUCAUCAUGUUAUUACUCAAAUUACUCAUUUUGUCUCUAAUAUUUUUUGCUUUAUCAUGAAAAUACCCCCCCCCCUGCAUACCCUCUGGCCAGGGCUAGGUGGGGGGUGCACACACCCCAGUAAAUCCACCCCUGAUAUUGGUCAUAUAAAUGCAGUGGUCAUACAUAAUUGAUGUUAAUAAAAUGCUUUAUUCAAAGUUACAAUAUAUAAAGUAAAUACUUAAGAUUCAUUGCAACAUUUUCAUGUCACCAAUACACCAAUAUUUACAUGUAAAAUGUCUACUAAAAUAUGUAUCUGUUAAAAGGCUGGUAUGGGCAAAUUUAUAUAACAGCUAGGUUGCUCUUAUUAUUCUGGUUCAAUAGUUUCAUUGCUUGAAUCAGUUGAAUGGAUCAUGAGCACAACUUGGCUGGAUUAGAUGUUAUACCAUUUGCCAAAGCAGGAUGUAGGAACAGUUCAACUGCUCAAUAACAGUUCUAAAUCAGCAUUAAAUUCAUAAGUUCAACUUUUCCCAUAUUUAGGAUCAAGUACAAU
Non-coding RNA from Paramuricea clavata, 1054 nucleotides. The record is from the annotation of a GenBank genome assembly. Lineage: Eukaryota; Metazoa; Cnidaria; Anthozoa; Malacalcyonacea; Plexauridae.